RNAcentral lists this transfer RNA (64 nucleotides) under Neotoma lepida (desert woodrat). It matches the Rfam family "tRNA", at positions 5 to 66 of the family's 71-position model. From Rfam's summary of the family: Transfer RNA (tRNA) molecules are approximately 80 nucleotides in length. Their secondary structure includes four short double-helical elements and three loops (D, anti-codon, and T loops). Lineage: Eukaryota; Metazoa; Chordata; Mammalia; Rodentia; Cricetidae. The record is from Rfam by way of RNAcentral.
AUGUAGCUCAGCUGGUAGAGUGCCUGCCUCGUGUGCAUGAAUCCCUGGGUUUAAUGCCCAGCAU